GGAGAGCAAGAAGUACCAGACAGAUUUGUGCAGAAUUUGAGACAUACAUACCAUAGGCCCAUUAGAAUCAACAAUCUUUGCCAAAAUGGAUCCGCACUGCAAAACUUAUGAAGAUGUUUGCAUACUGAAGGAGAGUCCUUGGACAAAUACUGAAACCCUCUUGGUGCCCACUACACAGCUCAAGAUCCUGGGAGUGUGCAGACUCUUGUGGUACUGUCAGCAUUGUCAGGGGUCCAGUUCCAGCUGAGCAACUGCGAGAUGAAUGAGAAUGAUAACAGACCAAUCUCUUCAGGAGUAUAAAAGUGUCAGAAUGUGAAGAACAGAAGAAAAAGUCCUUUCGUUGAUCACUACACACAGUGUGCUUUGGACGGGAGUGGUGUUUUGGAAACUCCACGGUGAACGAGGGAAGUUUCAAGUGCAUGAGUAUGCUGGUAACA
This is a long non-coding RNA of Carassius carassius (crucian carp), 437 nucleotides long. RefSeq lists it as uncharacterized. The record is from RefSeq and is a predicted model, not a curated record. The transcript has 4 exons. Lineage: Eukaryota; Metazoa; Chordata; Actinopteri; Cypriniformes; Cyprinidae.